Molecule: ribosomal RNA, 205 nt
Filed under: uncultured bacterium
Lineage: Bacteria
Description: partial 16S ribosomal RNA
Rfam family: Bacterial small subunit ribosomal RNA
Source: RNAcentral
CGUAGGUGGUUCGUUAAGUUGGAUGUGAAAUCCCCGGGCUCAACCUGGGAACUGCAUUCAAAACUGUCGAGCUAGAGUAUGGUAGAGGGUGGUGGAAUUUCCUGUGUAGCGGUGAAAUGCGUAGAUAUAGGAAGGAACACCAGUGGCGAAGGCGACCACCUGGACUGAUACUGACACUGGGGUGCGAAAGCGUGGGGAGCAAACA